UGGCUCAGAUUGAACGCUGGCGGCAGGCUUAACACAUGCAAGUCGAGCGGGGGAGAUUGCUUCGGUGAUUGACCUAGCGGCGGACGGGUGAGUAAUACUUAGGAAUCUGCCUAUUAAUGGGGGACAACAUCUCGAAAGGGAUGCUAAUACCGCAUACGCCCUACGGGGGAAAGCAGGGGAUCACUUGUGACCUUGCGUUAAUAGAUGAGCCUAAGUCGGAUUAGCUAGUUGGUGGGGUAAAGGCCUACCAAGGCGACGAUCUGUAGCGGGUCUGAGAGGAUGAUCCGCCACACUGGGACUGAGACACGGCCCAGACUCCUACGGGAGGCAGCAGUGGGGAAUAUUGGACAAUGGGGGGAACCCUGAUCCAGCCAUGCCGCGUGUGUGAAGAAGGCCUUAUGGUUGUAAAGCACUUUAAGCGAGGAGGAGGCUCCUGUAGUUAAUACCUACAGUGAGUGGACGUUACUCGCAGAAUAAGCACCGGCUAACUCU
This 492-nucleotide ribosomal RNA is filed under the name uncultured bacterium. RNAcentral describes it as "bacterial SSU rRNA". It matches the Rfam family "Bacterial small subunit ribosomal RNA", at positions 20 to 504 of the family's 1533-position model. The record is from RNAcentral.